RNAcentral lists this ribosomal RNA (301 nucleotides) under uncultured bacterium. Its description in RNAcentral is "partial 16S ribosomal RNA". It matches the Rfam family "Bacterial small subunit ribosomal RNA", at positions 509 to 807 of the family's 1533-position model. The record is from RNAcentral.
CAGUCGCCGCGGUAAUACGUAGGGUGCAAGCGUUGUCCGGAAUUAUUGGGCGUAAAGAGCUCGUAGGCGGUUUGUCGCGUCUGCUGUGAAAACGCGAGGCUCAACCUCGCGCCUGCAGUGGGUACGGGCAGACUAGAGUGUGGUAGGGGAGAUUGGAAUUCCUGGUGUAGCGGUGGAAUGCGCAGAUAUCAGGAGGAACACCGAUGGCGAAGGCAGAUCUCUGGGCCAUUACUGACGCUGAGGAGCGAAAGCGUGGGGAGCGAACAGGAUUAGAUACCCCGGUAGUCCCUGUCUCUUAUAC